UACGGAUGGUGCAAGCGUUAAUCGGGAUUACUGCGCGUAGAGCGCGCGUAGGUGGCUUGAUAAGCCGGUUGUGAAAGCCCCGGGCUCAACCUGGGAACGGCAUCCGGAACUGUCAAGCUAGAGAGCAGGAGAGGAAGGUAGAAUUCCCGGUGUAGCGGUGAAAUGCGUAGAGAUCGGGAGGAAUGCCAGUGGCGAAGGCGGCCUUCUGGACUGACACUGACACUGAGGUGCGAAAGCGUGGGUAGCAAACAGG
This 253-nucleotide unclassified non-coding RNA is filed under the name uncultured Halomonadaceae bacterium. RNAcentral's name for it is "contains 16S-23S intergenic spacer region". It matches the Rfam family "Bacterial small subunit ribosomal RNA", at positions 524 to 776 of the family's 1533-position model. The record is from RNAcentral. Lineage: Bacteria; Pseudomonadati; Pseudomonadota; Gammaproteobacteria; Oceanospirillales; Halomonadaceae.